This 1386-nucleotide ribosomal RNA is filed under the name uncultured bacterium. RNAcentral's name for it is "16S ribosomal RNA". It matches the Rfam family "Bacterial small subunit ribosomal RNA". The record is from RNAcentral.
UUAGAGUUUGAUCCUGGCUCAGGACGAACGCUGGCGGCGCGCCUAACACAUGCAAGUCGAACGGGACUAUGCUGGAAGAAGUUUUCGGAUGGAUUUUGGUAUAGUUUAGUGGCGGACGGGUGAGUAACACGUGAGCAACCUGCCUUCGAGAGGGGAAUAACGGCUGGAAACGGUCGCUAAUACCGCAUAAUAUACAGGAGGGACAUCCCUUUUGUAUCAAAGAUUUAUCGCUCGAAGAUGGGCUCGCGUCCGAUUAGGUAGUUGGUGAGGUAACGGCCCACCAAGCCGACAAUCGGUAGCCGGACUGAGAGGUUGAACGGCCACAUUGGGACUGAGACACGGCCCAGACUCCUACGGGAGGCAGCAGUGGGGGAUAUUGUACAAUGGGGGAAACCCUGAUGCAGCGACGCCGCGUGUGGGAAGACGGUCCUCUGGAUUGUAAACCACUGUCCCCAGGGACGAAGAUGACGGUACCUGGGGAGGAAGCUCCGGCUAACUACGUGCCAGCAGCCGCGGUAAUACGUAGGGAGCAAGCGUUGUCCGGAAUUACUGGGUGUAAAGGGAGCGUAGGCGGGAUGGCAAGUUGGGUGUUAAAUCUACCGGCUCAACUGGUAGUCGCACUCAAAACUGCUAUUCUUGAGUGAAGUAGAGGCAGGCGGAAUUCCUAGUGUAGCGGUGAAAUGCGUAGAUAUUAGGAGGAACACCAGUGGCGAAGGCGGCCUGCUGGGCUUUUACUGACGCUGAGGCUCGAAAGUGUGGGGAGCAAACAGGAUUAGAUACCCUGGUAGUCCACACCGUAAACGAUGAUUACUAGGUGUGGGGGGUCUGACCCCCUCCGUGCCGGAGCAAACGCAAUAAGUAAUCCACCUGGGGAGUACGGCCGCAAGGUUGAAACUCAAAGGAAUUGACGGGGGCCCGCACAAGCAGUGGAGUAUGUGGUUUAAUUCGAAGCAACGCGAAGAACCUUACCAGGUCUUGACAUCGUGUGCAUAGCCUAGAGAUAGGUGAAGUCCUUCGGGACACACAGACAGGUGGUGCAUGGUUGUCGUCAGCUCGUGUCGUGAGAUGUUGGGUUAAGUCCCGCAACGAGCGCAACCCUUGUAUUUAGUUGCUACGCAAGAGCACUCUAGAUAGACUGCCGUUGACAAAACGGAGGAAGGUGGGGAUGACGUCAAAUCAUCAUGCCCCUUACGACCUGGGCCACACACGUACUACAAUGGCGCACAACAGAGGGAAGCAAGACAGCGAUGUGGAGCAAACCCCUAAAAUGCGUCCCAGUUCAGAUUGCAGGCUGCAACCCGCCUGCAUGAAGUCGGAAUUGCUAGUAAUCGCGGAUCAGCAUGCCGCGGUGAAUACGUUCCCGGGCCUUGUACACACCGCCCGUCA